Molecule: long non-coding RNA, 633 nt
Filed under: Piliocolobus tephrosceles (Ugandan red Colobus)
Lineage: Eukaryota; Metazoa; Chordata; Mammalia; Primates; Cercopithecidae
Description: lncRNA (ENSPTEG00000009024.1)
Source: RNAcentral
AUGCCCAUAUUUCUCUUUUUUUUAUUUUGCUUAUUUUACGUGCUUUGCUUGUUAUGUUAUGUUGUGUUAUGUUUUUUUUGUUAUUUUUUUUUUUGUUAUGUUUUUGUUUGUUCUGCUUUAUUCUGUUCUGUUCAGUUCUGUUAUGUUCUGUUUAGUUCUGUUAUGUUCUGUUUAGUUCUGUUAUGUUCUGUUAUGUUCUGUUCAGUUCUGUUAUGUUCUGUUCAAUUCAGUUAUGUUCUGUUCAGUUCUGUUAUGUUCUAUUCUGUUCUGUUCUGUUCUGUUAUGUUCUAUUCUGUUAUGUUCAGUUCUGUUCUGUUCUGUUCAGUUCUGUUAUGUUCAGUUCUGUUAUGUUCUGUUCAGUUCUGUUAUGUUCAGUUCUGUUAUGUUCUGUUUAGUGAUGUUAUGUUCUGUUUAGUGCUGUUAUGUUCUGUUUAGUGCUGUUAUGUUAUGUUUAGUGCUGUUAUGUUCUGUUCAGUUUUACUCUUUUUUUUUUUUUUUUUAAUUUACAAAGUAUUUCUUCAUAUAUUUAUCGAGCUCAAUAUAUACCAAACAAUUAUAAAUACUCAAAAAUGCUUAGUAUGAACAUAACUGCAGUAAAAUAAAGCUACAUAGCAAUAUAUGUUUUUUUAAAGU